AUAUUUUAUUAUGCUGGGAGGGCAUAUCCGCCGAAUUUAAGCAUAUAAUUAAGCGGAAGAAAAGAAAAUAACAAUGAUUCCUUUAGUAACGGCGAGUGAACAAGGAAAAGCUCAAAAGGAAAAUCCGCUUUGUGGUUAAAACCGCAGUGUGGAAUUGUCUGGUUGGGAUUUAGUCCUUUCUAUGUUUUUGUUGGGUGCGAAAUUAGUAGGAAUACUAUUCCUUAGAGGGUGAAAGGCCCGUAGUUCCUAACAAUUAUAGAUGGACUGUUUCCUGUAGAGUCGUGUUCUUUGAGAUUGGAGCACAAAUGUGUGUGAUACAUUUCACAUAAAGCUAAAUAUUUGUAGGAGACCGAUAGCAAACAAGUACCGUGAGGGAAAGAUGAAAUAGUACUCAGGAAUGAGGUUUAAAUAGUACCUGAAAUCGUUAAGAUGGAACGGAUUGAGAGAGAAAUAACGUAAGAUGGGAUUUAUUUCUAUGUUUCUUUUGGAUUCAUGUUUUAAUUUCUAUCUUAUUAAAAGGAGCAUCAGUGAAUUUUUGCAUUUGCAUUAUAGUUAAAGGGUUAUUUUUGCUUAUGUAAAGAUAUCGCAUUUCCUUCCGCUAAUAUGGUUGGAAAAAUAACUAUUAUUGCUUGCUAUGUUUACUGAGGAUAUCAAUUAGCUGGGGUUGCCCCUGUUAAUUUAUGUUGCUUCUAAAAAGUACUUUCUUAACCCACUCGUCUUGAAACACGGACCAAGGAGUCUAACAAAUGUGCGAGCGUAUAUAUGUUACGAACUAUAACAGAGAAUGAAAAUUCUUAUAUUUACGCGUAAUUAAUGUAAUUAAUUGGUAGAUCUUUAGGGUGUUUCCCUAAUUUGCAUACCAUGCCGGUUGGCGAUUAUGCUUAAUUGAGUAUGAGUAUAUUUGUUAGGACCCGAGAGGCUUUGAACUAAGCGUGAUGAGAUUGAAGUCAGACGAAAGUCUGAUGGAGGAUCGAAUUGAUACUGACGUGCAAAUCGUUCAUUUCAAUCACGUUUAGGGGCGAAAGACUAAUCGAAAAGCCUAUUAGCUGGUUAUUUUCGAAAGAUCUCUCAGGAUCGCUGGAGUUGAUUAAUAUAGUUUUACGAGGUAGAGAUAAUGAUUAGAGGAAUCAGGGAAAUCGUUUUCCUUGACCUAUUCUCAAACUCCCAAUACGUAAUAAGGGAUUAAUAUCUUUAUUGUAUUUUUCCCACUAUAAAUAAGAUAACUCCAAGUGGGCCAUUUUUGGUAAGCAGAACUGGCGAUGAGGGAUGCUCCUAACGCUUGGAUAAGGUGCCUAAAUAUUCGCUCAUGAGAUCCCAUAAAAGGUGUUGGUUCAUAAUGACAGUAGGACGGUGGUCAUGGAAGUCCAAAUUCCCUUAA
This 1378-nucleotide ribosomal RNA is filed under the name Plasmodium berghei ANKA. RNAcentral describes it as "eukaryotic LSU rRNA". It matches the Rfam family "Eukaryotic large subunit ribosomal RNA", at positions 1 to 1274 of the family's 3401-position model. Lineage: Eukaryota; Apicomplexa; Aconoidasida; Haemosporida; Plasmodiidae. The record is from RNAcentral.